This is an RNA transcript of Lycium ferocissimum, 1354 nucleotides long. It is a transcript of the gene named zinc finger BED domain-containing protein DAYSLEEPER-like, with no coding region annotated. NCBI's taxonomy places the organism in Eukaryota, Viridiplantae, Streptophyta, Magnoliopsida, Solanales, Solanaceae. The record is from RefSeq and is a predicted model, not a curated record. The transcript has 2 exons.
UGAGGACUUUCUCCAUAUUCGUCGUGCAAAUCAUAUUUUAAAUAUGAUUGUGAAAGCGAGUCUAAAAUCAAUAGAGGCUUCCAUAUUUAACAUAAGAGAAAGUAUUAAAUAUGUCACAGGUUCUGAGUCGAGGAUAAUAGAGUUGGUGGAUUUUAUCAAGAAUCUUAGAUUGAAGUUUACCGGGAAAGUGCGUCAAGAUGUGCCUACGAGAUGGAACUCUACUUUUCUUAUGCUUGAGAGUGUGAUUCCUUAUCGUCAGGCCUUUUUUGACUUUAAAUUACUUGAUGUGAAUUUUAAGUGUUGUCCUUCAGAAAUGGAUUGGUAUAAGGCAGAAACAAUUGCCAACUUCCUAAAACCUUUUGAUGAAAUCACUACUUUAUUCUCGGGAAGGCAAUAUCCGACGGCCAAUUUAUUUUUUCAGAAAGUGUGGGAAAUUCAUUUGUUGAUAAUAGAAGUGAAAAACAGUCAAUACUCUGAUAUCAGGGAAAUGGCGGAGGAAAUGGAAAAGAAAUUUUCAAAGUAUUGGGAAGAUUAUACUCCAGUUUUAUCUUUGGCAGUCCUUCUUGAUCCUCGAUACAAGUUAAAGUUUGUGAAAUUUUGCUUUUCAAAGCUUGAUUUUUUGACUUGUAACGAAAAAGUGAAGGUUGUUGAAGAUAAUUUGCAUCGAUUAUUUAAGGAGUAUGUGAAAUCUCCAGCAGCUAAUAGCGCAUUGGUGGAAAGACUGUUGAUGGAUGUGAUAGUGAAGUGAGAUGUAAUGGAUGAGUAUGACUUGUUUGAGAGUCAGUCAGAAUCUAAUUUGGAGAAAACACAAUUAGAGUUAUAUUUGGAAGAGCCUAUACUUGUCCGAAAGGGAAAUGAAAAUCUAGAUGUACUUAAAUUUUGGAAAGAUAACAUGAUUAGAUACCCUGAGCUAUCAAUGAUGGCACGAGAUGUUUUAAGUAUACCUAUUAGUACUGUUGCGUCUGAAUCAACAUUCAGUAUUGAAGGACGAGUAAUUGGGAAAUAUGAAAGUUCAAUCUUACCAGAAAAUGCAGAAGCUAAGUUGUGUGCUCAGGAUUGGCUCUACGGACAUGGAGAUUUGUAUUGUCGAGUUUUUCUAAAGUUUCAGCUGAGAGUUAUUUGUCGAUUUGCAAAUCUAGAAGAACUGAGAAAGUGUUGCAGGAGACAUGGAAAGAGGCACUUGAACUAAAGACAUUGAAGAAUUAGCAAUUAUGUAAUUUUAUUUUAAGUUUUAUCCUAAAGGAAAAGACAUUGAAGAAUUAGCAAUUAUGUAAUUCUAUUUUAAGUUUUGGAGGAAAAACCUUCGAUUUUUAAUGUAAUGAAAAUGUAUGAAAUGAGUUGAAUUUUGUUGAGG